This 230-nucleotide unclassified non-coding RNA is filed under the name Hevea brasiliensis (rubber tree). Lineage: Eukaryota; Viridiplantae; Streptophyta; Magnoliopsida; Malpighiales; Euphorbiaceae. The record is from RNAcentral.
CUUUGAGAUUAGAACGUCUUCAAACUGGCGGCAUCCAAGUGAAUAGGAAUUGCGACAAUAUGCGCUGUGCGACUAGAAGAAGCAGGCGUUCGCGCUUCUGAUUGGCCCGCCUUAGAAUCUCUCCAAAUUCACUGAGUUAGAAGCAGUCUAAAUGCCAGCAGCACCUUCGGCACACCGGCGCGGAUCUCUGAAGCGGCUCUGGCGCAACAUUCAUCUGUGGCUCGGCAUCG